Molecule: transfer-messenger RNA, 375 nt
Filed under: Patescibacteria group
Lineage: Bacteria
Also listed under: 1 other name
Description: GWA1-39-11 sp016204525 X1 Standard tmRNA
Rfam family: transfer-messenger RNA
About the family: Bacterial tmRNA, also known as 10Sa RNA or SsrA, is named for its dual tRNA and mRNA-like properties. Its role is to liberate the mRNA from a stalled ribosome.
Source: RNAcentral
GGGGAUGCAUUGCAUCGACAAGAUUGCUCUUUAAAAACUGCAAGCCGAUAAUGAUACUAAUCGUAAAAGCGUAUCAAAAACAAAUGCUAAGAACUUUCUUAGCGGUCAAAGUUUCGCCUUUGCUCCUCAAAGAGCAAUGUACGUAAACUAAGACCUGUUCAUACUAAGAUUUUUCCAAACGAUCAGGUGUGGGCAAAAACAAAGUUUGGAUAAGGUAAAAUCUUUGGUUGGGGUUUUGCUCGAAAAUUUAACCUUGGUUACAACAAAUCCUUUUGAUCGGAGUAUGUUAUAACGACAAUUAAAGAUCAAAUAAGCUUGUAGAUGUUUUUAUAGAUGCUUUUUUGGACGGGGGCUCAAAGCCCCCCAUCUCCACAA